AUGCGGAAGGUAUCUUAUGAUAUUUGAGACCAAUAUUCACUCUUUUUACCAUAUAAUAACGCUCAACCAAUGAAUAAGUAAAAUCUUCCGUGUGCAAUAAGGGGAAAACCAUCUAUCGCAAUAUAUGCCGUAUCAUUAAUUUUGUUUUACGCAUUUUUCUGUUUGGAAUCUUUUUGUUUUUGUUUUCAGAAUGAUGCUAUUUACCCACCAAAACAUGCUGUUGAAAAUCAUUUUAACGAUAACAUUGGAAACAGUGAGGGUGGAGUGCGGAUCUCAAGCUGAAUGCAAAUAUACUAGGAAUUAUAUUGGCAUAGUAGCAGAUUGCUCAAAUUUGAAAUUAACCACGUGGCCAGUCUUCAACUCAUCGGUAAAGGCAAUUGAUCUAAGCCAAAAUAAGCUUAGCAAUUCUUCUCCGUGUCGGAAAUGUUUACCUCGUGGGUUAUUGCACUUUAACAUUUCUUAUAAUAAUAUUUCAAGUUUCCGUGCAAUUUCCUUGCAAGACCUAUCACAUUUGUUAUCUCUCAAUCUUUCUUACAACACCUUUAUCUUAAACGAAUCUGUUUUUCCGCCAAGAAUGUUUAGAAACCUGAAAUACUUACAGUCGCUAGAUUUGAAGAGAAAUUCCUC
Long non-coding RNA from Ostrea edulis (European flat oyster), 627 nucleotides. RefSeq lists it as uncharacterized. The record is from RefSeq and is a predicted model, not a curated record. Lineage: Eukaryota; Metazoa; Mollusca; Bivalvia; Ostreida; Ostreidae. The transcript has 2 exons.